This 710-nucleotide ribosomal RNA is filed under the name uncultured bacterium. Its description in RNAcentral is "bacterial SSU rRNA". It matches the Rfam family "Bacterial small subunit ribosomal RNA", at positions 125 to 851 of the family's 1533-position model. The record is from RNAcentral.
CCUGCCUCAAAGAGGGGGACAACAGUUGGAAACGACUGCUAAUACCGCAUAAGCCCACGGGUCGGCAUCGACCAGAGGGAAAAGGAGCAAUCCGCUUUGAGAUGGCCUCGCGUCCGAUUAGCUAGUUGGUGAGGUAACGGCCCACCAAGGCAACGAUCGGUAGCCGGACUGAGAGGUUGAACGGCCACAUUGGGACUGAGACACGGCCCAGACUCCUACGGGAGGCAGCAGUGGGGAAUAUUGCACAAUGGGGGAAACCCUGAUGCAGCGACGCCGCGUGGAGGAAGAAGGUCUUCGGAUUGUAAACUCCUGUUGUUGAGGAAGAUAAUGACGGUACUCAACAAGGAAGUGACGGCUAACUACGUGCCAGCAGCCGCGGUAAAACGUAGGUCACAAGCGUUGUCCGGAAUUACUGGGUGUAAAGGGAGCGCAGGCGGGAAGACAAGUUGGAAGUGAAAUCCAUGGGCUCAACCCAUGAACUGCUUUCAAAACUGUUUUUCUUGAGUAGUGCAGAGGUAGGCGGAAUUCCCGGUGUAGCGGUGGAAUGCGUAGAUAUCGGGAGGAACACCAGUGGCGAAGGCGGCCUACUGGGCACCAACUGACGCUGAGGCUCGAAAGUGUGGGUAGCAAACAGGAUUAGAUACCCUGGUAGUCCACACCGUGAACGAUGAUUACUAGGUGUUGGAGGAUUGACCCCUUCAGUGCCGCAG